This 253-nucleotide ribosomal RNA is filed under the name uncultured bacterium. RNAcentral describes it as "partial 16S ribosomal RNA". It matches the Rfam family "Bacterial small subunit ribosomal RNA", at positions 524 to 776 of the family's 1533-position model. The record is from RNAcentral.
UACGUAGGGUGCGAGCGUUAAUCGGAAUUACUGGGCGUAAAGCGUGCGCAGGCGGUUUUGUAAGUCAGAUGUGAAAUCCCCGGACUUAACCUGGGAACUGCGUUUGAAACUACAAGGCUAGAGUGUGGCAGAGGGGGGUGGAAUUCCACGUGUAGCAGUGAAAUGCGUAGAGAUGUGGAGGAACACCGAUGGCGAAGGCAGCCCCCUGGGUUAACACUGACGCUCAGGCACGAAAGCGUGGGGAGCAAACAGG